RNAcentral lists this ribosomal RNA (783 nucleotides) under uncultured Actinomycetes bacterium. RNAcentral describes it as "bacterial SSU rRNA". It matches the Rfam family "Bacterial small subunit ribosomal RNA", at positions 86 to 882 of the family's 1533-position model. Lineage: Bacteria; Bacillati; Actinomycetota; Actinomycetes. The record is from RNAcentral.
GGUACACGAGUGGCGAACGGGUGAGUAACACGUGGGUGACCUGCCCUGCACUUCGGGAUAAGCCUGGGAAACUGGGUCUAAUACCGGAUAGGACCGCACCGUGAGGGUGUGGUGGAAAGUUUUUUCGGUGUGGGAUGGGCCCGCGGCCUAUCAGCUUGUUGGUGGGGUAAUGGCCUACCAAGGCGGCGACGGGUAGCCGGCCUGAGAGGGUGGACGGUCCACAUUGGGACUGAGACACGGCCCAGACUCCUACGGGAGGCAGCAGUGGGGAAUAUUGCACAAUGGGCGGAAGCCUGAUGCAGCGACGCCGCGUGGGGGAUGACGGCCUUCGGGUUGUAAACUCCUUUCACCAUCGACGAAGGGUUUCUGACGGUAGAUGGAGAAGAAGCACCGGCUAACUACGUGCCAGCAGCCGCGGUAAUACGUAGGGUGCGAGCGUUGUCCGGAAUUACUGGGCGUAAAGAGCUCGUAGGCGGUUUGUCGCGUCGUCUGUGAAAUUCCGGGGCUUAACUCCGGGCGUGCAGGCGAUACGGGCAUAACUUGAGUACUGUAGGGGAGACUGGAAUUCCUGGUGUAGCGGUGAAAUGCGCAGAUAUCAGGAGGAACACCGGUGGCGAAGGCGGGUCUCUGGGCAGUAACUGACGCUGAGGAGCGAAAGCAUGGGGAGCGAACAGGAUUAGAUACCCUGGUAGUCCAUGCCGUAAACGGUGGGCGCUAGGUGUGGGUUUCCUUCCACGGGAUCCGUGCCGUAGCUAACGCAUUAAGCGCCCCGCCUGGGGAGUA